RNAcentral lists this transfer RNA (69 nucleotides) under Acropyga donisthorpei. RNAcentral's name for it is "tRNA-Lys". The record is from RNAcentral. Lineage: Eukaryota; Metazoa; Arthropoda; Insecta; Hymenoptera; Formicidae.
CAUUAAAUGACUGAAAGUAAGUUUUGAUUUUUUAAAUCAAAUAUAAUAGCACACACCUAUUUUUAAUGA